This 461-nucleotide ribosomal RNA is filed under the name uncultured bacterium. RNAcentral's name for it is "partial 16S ribosomal RNA". It matches the Rfam family "Bacterial small subunit ribosomal RNA", at positions 338 to 795 of the family's 1533-position model. The record is from RNAcentral.
CCUACGGGUGGCAGCAGUGAGGAAUAUUGGUCAAUGGGCUUACGCCUGAACCAGCCAAGUCGCGUGAGGGAAGACUGCCCUAUGGGUUGUAAACCUCUUUUGUCAGGGAGCAACGCCGGCUACGUGUAGCCGGACUGAGAGUACCUGAAGAAAAAGCAUCGGCUAACUCCGUGCCCGAAGCCGCGGUAAUACGGAGGAUGCGAGCGUGAUCCGGUUUUACUGGGUGUAAGGGGAGCGUAGCCGGCAGUGCAAGUCGGGAGGGAAAGGCCGGGGCUCAACCCCCGGACCGCUCUGGAAAGUGGACGGCUGGAGUGCAGGAGAGGUAAGUGGAAUGCCUAGUGUAGCGGUGAAAUGCGUAGAUAUUAGGAGGAACACCAGUGGCGAAGGCGGCUUACUGGACUGUAACUGACGUUGAGGCUCGAAAGCGUGGGGAGCAAACAGGAUUAGAUACCCUGGUAGUC